UACGUAGGUGGCGAGCGUUGUCCGGAUUUACUGGGCGUAAAGAGCGCGCAGGCGGUCGAUCAAGUCGGAUGUGAAAGCCCCCGGCUCAACUGGGGAGGGUCAUUCGAUACUGGUCGACUCGAAGGCAGGAGAGGGAAGCGGAAUUCCCCGGUGUAGUGGUGAAAUGCGUAGAUAUCGGGAAGAACACCCGUGGCGAAGGCGGCUCUCUGGGACGGUACUGACGCUGAGACGCGAAAAGCGUGGGGGAGCGAACAGG
This 256-nucleotide ribosomal RNA is filed under the name uncultured bacterium. Its description in RNAcentral is "partial 16S ribosomal RNA". It matches the Rfam family "Bacterial small subunit ribosomal RNA", at positions 524 to 776 of the family's 1533-position model. The record is from RNAcentral.